GUCAACAGCUAUGCCACCCUGAAUGCACCUCAUCUCAGAACCUAAGCAGGGUCAGGCCUGGUUAGUACUUGGAUGGGAGAAGUUGUGGAUGCUCAAGAUA
RNAcentral lists this ribosomal RNA (100 nucleotides) under Nomascus leucogenys (northern white-cheeked gibbon). Lineage: Eukaryota; Metazoa; Chordata; Mammalia; Primates; Hylobatidae. The record is from RNAcentral.